This is a long non-coding RNA of Prunus avium (sweet cherry), 560 nucleotides long. RefSeq lists it as uncharacterized. NCBI's taxonomy places the organism in Eukaryota, Viridiplantae, Streptophyta, Magnoliopsida, Rosales, Rosaceae. The record is from RefSeq and is a predicted model, not a curated record.
UCAUGGGCACAUAAUUUUGGCAGAUCCUUCACCCUUAUUGUUUUGUCUGUUUUCAGUUGUGUACAUUUUUGUGUGAACAUAUAUUUCCUUUAUGAUAUUUUUUUUGUUUUUAUCUUUUUCUUGUGGAUUUUAAAUGGACCGAAGAUUUGGAAGUUGGUAACAGUAUUGAGGUAGUUUUGAAGCUUAGUUUUGCUUUCCUCUUCCAUUUUUGUGGUGAGCGAUUGAGCAUCAGGAUCGAACUUUGAGAGUGAUCGAGUGCUUAGGCUGAUCCCAGAGUGGUCUAAAAGUGUUCAAAGCUGGGACGUCUUGAUUAGGCUGUUGAUUGAAAGGAUGUUUGCAGAGCCAUCAAAUGCAACAACUGUCAAGUUUUUGAGUUAUUUGAGUGAGCACUUGGCAGAAGCUGCUGAUGCAGUGCUCUCUUGUGUUCUAUUGCAUGCUAAGCGACAUAAAGAAAUUGAUGAAAACAGCUUUUCUGGAUGGGAGUGUCAAACCUAUAGAAGUGAUGACUCUGAAAAAAAAUGCAGCGGACUCUUUUGGAACACCUUUGCCCACUACUGUUG